RNAcentral lists this ribosomal RNA (253 nucleotides) under uncultured bacterium. Its description in RNAcentral is "partial 16S ribosomal RNA". It matches the Rfam family "Bacterial small subunit ribosomal RNA", at positions 524 to 776 of the family's 1533-position model. The record is from RNAcentral.
UACAGAGGGUGCGAGCGUUGUUCGGAAUUAUUGGGCGUAAAGCGCGAGUAGGCGGUUCCGUAAGUCGUCUGUGAAAGCCCCCGGCUCAACCGGGGAAGUGCGGGCGAAACUGCGGGACUCGAGUGCUGGAGAGGGUCGCGGAAUUCCCGGUGUAGAGGUGAAAUUCGUAGAUAUCGGGAGGAACACCAGAGGCGAAGGCGGCGACCUGGACAGACACUGACGCUGAGAAGCGAAAGCGUGGGGAGCAAACAGG